GCCACUCUGGUUGUUGUUGAUGU
Molecule: non-coding RNA, 23 nt
Filed under: Arabidopsis thaliana (thale cress)
Lineage: Eukaryota; Viridiplantae; Streptophyta; Magnoliopsida; Brassicales; Brassicaceae
Source: RNAcentral